RNAcentral lists this unclassified non-coding RNA (279 nucleotides) under plant metagenome. Its description in RNAcentral is "partial contains small subunit ribosomal RNA and internal transcribed spacer 1". The stretch from base 1 to 46 matches the Rfam family "Eukaryotic small subunit ribosomal RNA", at positions 1786 to 1831 of the family's 1831-position model. The record is from RNAcentral.
AAGUCGUAACAAGGUUUCCGUAGGUGAACCUGCGGAAGGAUCAUUAUUGAAUAAACUUGGUUGGGUUGUUGCUGGCUCUCAGGAGCAUGUGCACGCUCAUUCCAUUUUUAACCACCUGUGCACUCACUGUAGGCUUGAAUGAACUUUUCGAGGAAACUCGGGUAUGAGAACUGCUCGAAGCUGUUCUUGCAUUCCAGGUCUAUGUUUUAAACAUAUACUCCAUAACAAGUUACAGAAUGUUAAUUAUAGGCCUUCUGUGCCUUUAUAAACCUAAUACAA